UGAGGAAUUUUGCGCAAUGGGAGCAAUCCUGACGCAGCAACGCCGCGUGGGUGAUGAAGGCCUUCGGGUCGUAAAGCCCUGUCAGGUGGGAAGAAUGUCCCGGGACUGAACAGGUUCCGGGCGUGACGGUACCACCAGAGGAAGCACCGGCUAACUCCGUGCCAGCAGCCGCGGUAAUACGGAGGGUGCAAGCGUUAUUCGGAAUUACUGGGCGUAAAGCGCGUGUAGGCGGUCCUGCAAGUCUGAUGUGAAAGCCCCGGGCUUAACCCGGGAAGUGCAUUGGAAACUGUGGGACUUGAGUAGUGGAGAGGAUGGGGGAAUUGCCGGUGUAGAGGUGAAAUUCGUAGAGAUCGGGAGGAAUAUCAGUGGCGAAGGCGCUCAUCUGGACGGUAACUGACGCUGAGGCGCGAAAGCGUGGGGAGCAAACA
This 428-nucleotide ribosomal RNA is filed under the name uncultured prokaryote. RNAcentral's name for it is "bacterial SSU rRNA". It matches the Rfam family "Bacterial small subunit ribosomal RNA", at positions 355 to 774 of the family's 1533-position model. The record is from RNAcentral.